UACGGAAGGCAGCAGUGGGGAAUAUUGCACAAUGGGCGCAAGCCUGAUGCAGCCAUGCCGCGUGUAUGAAGAAGGCCUUCGGGUUGUAAAGUACUUUCAGUCGUGAGGAAGGUGUUAAGGUUAAUAACCUUAGCAAUUGACGUUAGCGACAGAAGAAGCACCGGCUAACUCCGUGCCAGCAGCCGCGGUAAUACGGAGGGUGCGAGCGUUAAUCGGAAUUACUGGGCGUAAAGGGCACGCAGGCGGUUAAUUAAGUUGGAUGUGAAAUCCCCGGGCUUAACCUGGGAAUGGCAUUCAAGACUGGUUAGCUAGAGUCUUGUAGAGGGGGUAGAAUUCCAUGUGUAGCGGUGAAAUGCGUAGAGAUGUGGAGGAAUCCGGUGGCGAAGGCGGCCCCUGGACAAAGGCUGACGCUCAUGUGCGAAAGCGUGGGGAGCAAACG
RNAcentral lists this ribosomal RNA (439 nucleotides) under uncultured bacterium. RNAcentral describes it as "bacterial SSU rRNA". It matches the Rfam family "Bacterial small subunit ribosomal RNA", at positions 340 to 774 of the family's 1533-position model. The record is from RNAcentral.